GGGCUGACGGGCCCCGCUCGCCCCCUCCUUCCCAGAGCUGAGAACAGCGAGGGAAAAGCGACGGCGCAGGGCCGGGGCUCACUCACCUCAGCGACCUGCCCCGUGCUAGCACGUCCCAGCCGUGCUCCUCCGGGCGAACACCGACCCUGUCCCCUGUCCCCGGUCCCCUCACCCCUGUCCCCCCUCCCCUCCCGGCCUAGCCCGCCGCCCCCUCCCGCGCGCCCGGAGCGGGGCGUGACCCGCCCGUGCCGCAGCCUCACCGGGCGCAAGGCGCAUGCGCGAGGGCAGCCGGUGCGCACGCUGCCCGCCCCCGGCCCCGCCCCGCCCCGGCCCCGCCGCCGCGGCCACACCGGGAAGGGCUCCAGGCGCUAUGGCGGCGGCUGCGCGCAAGGUUGGAGGAAACUUCCCGCGGCCGGUGGCCUCCUGAGCGGCAGAGCGACCGAAGGGGAGCGCGCGGGCCCGGCAGCCAGGCCUCUCCCGCCGCCGGGGCAGCGGAGCCGCACUGGGCGGGCGGAGAGCGCGGGGGUGCGCAGCGGGCCCGCCUCAUGCGCAGUCACCUGCGGAGGGGCUGAGCGGAGCCGCCGCCGCCGCGCCCCGCGCCGGGGGCUCCGGGCGAGCACUUCCCGGGGCUGCCCCCGCUGCCCGGCCCUGCGGAGCCGCCGCCGAGGGACGCACAACGACCCCACCACCGGCCGGAGCCGCCGCCGGGGAGCGACCUGUCAGGGCACCUCGCAGGCCGGCCCCCAGAACCCUUCCCACGCGUCGGUUUGUCCCCGGGAGAAGGCGAGUUGGGAGCCUCUCCAUGCCUUAUCAAGUUCCUUAUCUGAGCGGCUCCCAGAGGCUGUAGAACAGUUCAGCUUUAUCUGGUGUAAGGGAGAAAAACAGUGUAGCUCUCGCACUCCAUCCUGUAUCGAGGACCACCUAUUCUGCUGGGGUUUAUCACACGAAGAUGAUGAAAUGCGGAUUGCUGGGUGAACCAUUAGGUCCCUGUUGUGAAACGAGGGCUUUGUAUUCGCCUUCCAGUUCCUGAUCUGUGCCGUGUGUGAGAGGACGCUAAUCUUUCUCCUUCAUCCCCCUUCCCUAAACCUUUCCUUGCUUCCAUGUUGCAUUGGUCAGACUUUUGGUCAGUGUUGUUUACGGAAGGAGGGGGGAAGAAGGCAGUUGAGGUUACAAACAAAAGUACUUGUAUGACUCAUCUACUUGGAUUUAAGACAUUGUAUCCUUCUUUCACGGGGCCUUUGCUUCUCUCUGAAGGAAUCAGAUGCUUUUUCCUAUUCUUCCAGAGGAGGAUGGAUUGAAAGUUGUACAUUUUAGACUUUUUUUGGGCCACUGCUGAUAUUAUUAAAAGACAUAAUGGGACUUUUUCUCUGGAUUAUUGCCAGAAUUAGUUUACACACUGAAACAAUGAGUUGUUAGGCCUCUCAUAUGAUAAUAUUUGUCCUGCUUUAAUAUAAAGUUGCUGUGGAGGUGUUUUUGAAAUUGCGGAGGACAGUCUGCAUCAGAAGAGGCUCUCUUCAUCUCUGGUUGGUGUA
RNAcentral lists this long non-coding RNA (1532 nucleotides) under Junco hyemalis (dark-eyed junco). RNAcentral's name for it is "lncRNA (ENSJHYG00000013131.1)". Lineage: Eukaryota; Metazoa; Chordata; Aves; Passeriformes; Passerellidae. The record is from RNAcentral.